UACGGAGGGAGCUAGCGUUAUUCGGAUUUACUGGGCGUAAAGGGCGCGUAGGCGGAUUUUUAAGUCAGGGGUGAAAUCCCAAGGCUCAACCUUGGAACUGCCUUUGAUACUGGGAAUCUUGAGUCCGGGAGAGGUGAGUGGAACUGCGAGUGUAGAGGUGAAAUUCGUAGAUAUUCGCAAGAACACCAGUGGCGAAGGCGGCUCACUGGCCCGAUACUGACGCUGAGGCACGAAAGCGUGGGGAG
This 245-nucleotide ribosomal RNA is filed under the name uncultured bacterium. RNAcentral describes it as "partial 16S ribosomal RNA". It matches the Rfam family "Bacterial small subunit ribosomal RNA", at positions 524 to 768 of the family's 1533-position model. The record is from RNAcentral.